GUGCAGCAGGCGCGAAACCUCCGCAAUGCGGGAAACCGCGACGGGGGGACCCCGAGUGCCGUGGCAACGCCACGGCUUUUCCGGAGUGUAAAAAGCUCCGGGAAUAAGGGCUGGGCAAGGCCGGUGGCAGCCGCCGCGGUAAUACCGGCGGCCCGAGUGGUGGCCGCUAUUAUUGGGCCUAAAGCGUCCGUAGCCGGGCCCGUAAGUCCCUGGCGAAAUCCCACGGCUCAACCGUGGGGCUUGCUGGGGAUACUGCGGGUCUUGGGACCGGGAGAGGCGGGGGGUACCCCUGGGGUAGGGGUGAAAUCCUAUAAUCCCAGGGGGACCGCCAGUGGCGAAGGCGCCCCGCUGGAACGGGUCCGACGGUGAGGGACGAAGGCCAGGGGAGCAAACCGGAUUAGAUACCCCUGUAGU
This 414-nucleotide ribosomal RNA is filed under the name uncultured microorganism. Its description in RNAcentral is "bacterial SSU rRNA". It matches the Rfam family "Archaeal small subunit ribosomal RNA", at positions 330 to 745 of the family's 1478-position model. The record is from RNAcentral.